GGCCCCGCACAAGCGGUGGAGUAUGUGGUUUAAUUCGAUGCAACGCGAAGAACCUUACCAGGGUUUGACAUCCUGCGAAUUCUGGAAGCCAGGCAAGUAGCCUUCGGGAGCGCAGUGACAGGUGGUGCAUGGCUGUCGUCAGCUCGUGUCGUGAGAUGUUGGGUUAAGUCCCGCAACGAGCGCAACCCACGUCUUUAGUUGCCAGCAUUUAGUUGGGGCACUCUAGAGAGACCGCCGGUGAUAAACCCGGAGGAAGGUGUGGAUGACGUCAAGUCAUCAUGCCCCUUACAUCCUGGGCUACACACGUACUACAAUGCUACGGACAAAGGGCAGCAAACUCGCGAGAGCUAG
This 351-nucleotide ribosomal RNA is filed under the name uncultured bacterium. RNAcentral's name for it is "bacterial SSU rRNA". It matches the Rfam family "Bacterial small subunit ribosomal RNA", at positions 917 to 1267 of the family's 1533-position model. The record is from RNAcentral.